GAAAGGAAAGAAAGGGAAGAACAAAGAAGAAGAAGGAGAAGAGCUUGGGGUCGGUCUUCAAUGGCAGAUGAAGGUGACCCGUCUGAGGCUUGGUGAAACUAACCGGAGACAGAGGGGGCGCCGGCCAGCGCAGCAGCAGUGGCAGAAGCAGUUGUGAGCGGUGAGGGGCGGCGAAAAAUGGAGAAGAAGGUAGCUUCUUCUUUGACGGUGUUCAUGGCGUUCCGGCGACCAAUGGCAACGGUUUCGGUCUUAAAAUGAUCGGCGACUUGACGGCUUUCUAAUGGGGGCGACAAUAUCAGCAAUGGUGUACGGAGAAGAGAGUUUCGGUGAAGGAAAGGCAGCUAAGUUAUUAGACUUUUCCGGCCAUCUCCGACGAGUUAUGGCUGAUCGAAGUUCAUGGAUGAACUCUUCUCGUCACAAGCUUUCUAAUAGCACUAAUUUUGCAGCGAUCAGACUCAGUUUGAAAAUUGACGGUCGAAACUGUCCGUAAUUUUCUCGGAUGAUUGGGAACUGGAUCAAAGAAUUAGGUGCUAGAAUCAUCGUUUGUGUGUUGUCUCGAGUCCAUAGGCGUGCUCAGAUCGUCGAUCGGACUCCGACGGCUGAAGACGAGUCGACCGAUUUAUCAAGCGUCUCGAUAAUCCAUCAUUUCAGUCCGCUUCACCCGAGGCUUAGGAGCAGAGCAAGGGGGUUAUCAGAACUGAGUUAAAGUGAUAUAUCUUUUAUACAUGUGUCAUGCUAAAAUUUCAUAUAGUAAUUUUGAUUAAUUGAUUUAUAGAUUUAAAUUAUUUAUUUAUUUACUAUUCAUCUAAAUAACUGUAUUAUAGAAUUAAUUAUCUAUUUAUUAUUCAUAUAUCAUUUUUCCACAUCAUUAAUAUUAUGAUUACAUAUUGACUCGGGAUGAGAUGUCAGUAGAAUAUGCCACCUGAUGAGUUGCAUCAGAACCGUGUGCGCACCAGUAUCAAUUUGAGACAGGUAGUAAAAGAAUAUUUUAAGACUUGUCCCGGUCGAGUUCAACUCUCUGGGCUGUGAAGAAUUUGAUUGCCGGAUUAAAGGUCCCUGGUCGAGCGUUGCUCUUUAGGCGCCUGCUUUAUUGGAAAUUUAGUGACCAGAUUGGAUUUAAGGACCAUGGUCGAGCUCCAUUCUCUGGGCGCCAGUUCUGUUGGAGUGAGAGGACCGAAAGGCUGUUAGUAUUGAUUGGGGUUAGGGUUCUGCUGAGGUAUUCAUCCCGUAACAUGUAAAAUAAAUUUUAUUGAAUCAUGACAUGACACACCUUUUGAUAUGGCCUAAUAUUUAAUUUUUGAUUAAACAAAUAUUUUAUUGAGGUGGUUGUAUUUAUUUUUAGAUUAUAUGGUUUUAACUCAUUCUCGAGACUAACAGUCUUAAAUUUAAUUAUUUUUCAGGUGUUUAUUAUUUUCUCACAGUUUUUUUCCUCUAGCAGUCCUACUUCCUUCAUCUUCGGGCUUAAUGUAACUGAUUUUAUUGGUAUGUUUGAUUUUUUUAGAAUUCUAGAUUCUCCGCAGUAGUAAUUUCAAAACUUAUAAUUUUGUUUUGACAUGUUAAACCAAGUAUUGCCUAUUUGUGCCGGCAAACUAAAUUAAAUAUGUAGUUUUUGAGUGGUUGAAA
This is a long non-coding RNA of Ricinus communis (castor bean), 1623 nucleotides long. RefSeq lists it as uncharacterized. Lineage: Eukaryota; Viridiplantae; Streptophyta; Magnoliopsida; Malpighiales; Euphorbiaceae. The record is from RefSeq and is a predicted model, not a curated record. The transcript is spliced from 2 exons.